UGGGGAAUUUUGGACAAUGGGCGCAAGCCUGAUCCAGCAAUGCCGCGUGCAGGAUGAAGGCCUUCGGGUUGUAAACUGCUUUUGUACGGAGCGAAAAGGUCUGCCCUAAUACGGUGGGCUCAUGACGGUACCGACAGAAUAAGCACCGGCUAACUCUGUGCCAGCAGCCGCGGUGAUACAGAGGGUGCAAGCGUUAAUCGGAAUUACUGGGCGUAAAACGUGCGCAGGCGGUUAUAUAAGACAGAUGUGAAAUCCCCGGGCUCAACCUGGGAACUGCGUUUGUGACUGCAUAACUAGAGUACGGCAGAGGGAGGUGGAAUUCCGCGUGUAGCAGUGAAAUGCGUAGAUAUGCGGAGGAACACCGAUGGCGAAGGCAGCCUCCUGGGCCAGUACUGACGCUCAUGCACGAAAGCGUGGGGAGCAAACA
This 427-nucleotide ribosomal RNA is filed under the name uncultured bacterium. RNAcentral's name for it is "bacterial SSU rRNA". It matches the Rfam family "Bacterial small subunit ribosomal RNA", at positions 355 to 774 of the family's 1533-position model. The record is from RNAcentral.